GGAGGCAGCGCGGCCGGAGCAGAGAGCCGGGGCUGGCGGGGACAGCGAGGCGCGGGCGGCGGAGCGGCGGGAUGCGGCGGUGCCGGGGCGCAGGGCUGGCGGGGCUGGCCGCCGUGCUCCUGGUGGCUGCGGGCAGAGCCCAGGUGCAGCAGGAGCCGUCGGCAGAGACCACCGAGGGCAUCGGCAUCAGCAUCAACUGCUCACACCCCAACAUCCAAACCAGCGAGUUCAUCCAGUGGUACCGUCAGCUCCCGGGCCGAGGCCUCACAUUCAUCGCGCUCAAUCACAAAGGGUCCAAAGAUGUGGCGGAGCCGCCGGGCCGGCUGUCGGUGGCGGCAGACCGCCGGUCCAGCGCCCUGUGGCUCGCCUGGCCCCGGCUCGGGGACGCGGCGGUGUAUUACUGCGCCCUGGGAGACACGGGGAGACGAGCCGGGGCUGCGGCCGCGCAGGAACCGCCGCGGGCGGGGCCGGGCGUGUGGGGCGGGGGGACAGCCCCGGGCGGGCCCGCCAGGGGGCGCUGCCGCUCCGCCCGCCGGGACCGCCUCGCCCCGUCCGACCCGGCGGGUUCGCCCGCCCGAUCUCCGCUUCCACCGGCACCUGCAGCGGCACCAGCCAGUGACCUAA
Non-coding RNA from Apus apus (common swift), 624 nucleotides. The record is from the annotation of a RefSeq genome assembly. Lineage: Eukaryota; Metazoa; Chordata; Aves; Apodiformes; Apodidae.